RNAcentral lists this ribosomal RNA (484 nucleotides) under uncultured bacterium. RNAcentral describes it as "partial 16S ribosomal RNA". It matches the Rfam family "Bacterial small subunit ribosomal RNA", at positions 28 to 507 of the family's 1533-position model. The record is from RNAcentral.
AUUGAACGCUGGCGGCAUGCUUUACACAUGCAAGUCGAACGGCAGCGCGGGCUUCGGCCUGGCGGCGAGUGGCGAACGGGUGAGUAAUGCAUCGGAGCGUGCCCAGUAGUGGGGGAUAGCCCGGCGAAAGCCGGAUUAAUACCGCAUACGACCUGAGGGUGAAAGCGGGGGACCGAAAGGCCUCGCGCUAUUGGAGCGGCCGAUGUCGGAUUAGCUAGUUGGUGGGGUAAAGGCUUACCAAGGCGACGAUCCGUAGCUGGUCUGAGAGGACGACCAGCCACACUGCGACUGAGACACGGCCCAGACUCCUACGGGAGGCAGCAGUGGGGAAUUUUGGACAAUGGGGGCAACCCUGAUCCAGCCAUGCCGCGUGCGGGAAGAAGGCCUUCGGGUUGUAAACCGCUUUUGUUCGGGAAGAAAUCCUCUGGGCUAAUACCCCGGGGGGAUGACGGUACCGGAAGAAUAAGCACCGGCUAACUACGUG